UCCACGCCGUAAACGAUGGUCACUAGUUGUUGGAGUUUCGGCUUCAGUGAUUAAGAGAAAUUGAUAAGUGACCCACCUGGGGAGUACGAUCGCAAGAUUGAAACUCAAAGGAAUUGACGGGGGCCCGCACAAGCGGUGGAGCAUGUGGUUUAAUUCGAUGAUACGCGAAGAACCUUACCUAGCCUUGACAUUGAAGAAACACACUAGAGAUAGAGUGGUGCCCUUCGGGGAAUCUGAAAACAGGUGCUGCACGGCUGUCGUCAGCUCGUGUCGUGAGAUGUUGGG
RNAcentral lists this ribosomal RNA (285 nucleotides) under uncultured bacterium. Its description in RNAcentral is "partial 16S ribosomal RNA". It matches the Rfam family "Bacterial small subunit ribosomal RNA", at positions 794 to 1079 of the family's 1533-position model. The record is from RNAcentral.